CUCAGGACGACGCUGGCGGCGUGCAUAAUACAUGCAAGUCGAGCGGACAGAAGGGAGCUUGCUCCCGGAUGUUAGCGGCGGACGGGUGAGUAACACGUGGGUAACCUGCCUGUAAGACUGGGAUAACUCCGGGAAACCGGAGCUAAUACCGGAUAGUUCCUUGAACCGCAUGGUUCAAGGAUGAAAGACGGUUUCGGCUGUCACUUACAGAUGGACCCGCGGCGCAUUAGCUAGUUGGUGGGGUAAUGGCUCACCAAGGCGACGAUGCGUAGCCGACCUGAGAGGGUGAUCUGCCACACACUGGGACUGAGACACGGCCCAGACUCCUACGGGAGGCAGCAGUAGGGAAUCUUCCGCAAUGGACGAAAGUCUGACGGAGCAACGCCGCGUGAGUGAUGAAGGUUUUCGGAUCGUAAAGCUCUGUUGUUAGGGAAGAACAAGUGCGAGAGUAACUGCUCGCACCUUGACGGUACCUAACCAGAAAGCCACGGCUAACUACGUGCCAGCAGCCGCGGUAAUACGUAGGUGGCAAGCGUUGUCCGGAAUUAUUGGGCGUAAAGGGCUCGCAGGCGGUUUCUUAAGUCUGAUGUGAAAGCCCCCGGCUCAACCGGGGAGGGUCAUUGGAAACUGGGAAACUUGAGUGCAGAAGAGGAGAGUGGAAUUCCACGUGUAGCGGUGAAAUGCGUAGAGAUGUGGAGGAACACCAGUGGCGAAGGCGACUCUCUGGUCUGUAACUGACGCUGAGGAGCGAAAGCGUGGGGAGCGAACAGGAUUAGAUACCCUGGUAGUCCACGCCGUAAACGAUGAGUGCUAAGUGUUAGGGGGUUUCCGCCCCUUAGUGCUGCAGCUAACGCAUUAAGCACUCCGCCUGGGGAGUACGGUCGCAAGACUGAAACUCAAAGGAAUUGACGGGGGCCCGCACAAGCGGUGGAGCAUGUGGUUUAAUUCGAAGCAACGCGAAGAACCUUACCAGGUCUUGACAUCCUCUGACAACCCUAGAGAUAGGGCUUUCCCUUCGGGGACAGAGUGACAGGUGGUGCAUGGUUGUCGUCAGCUCGUGUCGUGAGAUGUUGGGUUAAGUCCCGCAACGA
Molecule: ribosomal RNA, 1091 nt
Filed under: Bacillus pumilus
Lineage: Bacteria; Bacillati; Bacillota; Bacilli; Caryophanales; Bacillaceae
Description: bacterial SSU rRNA
Rfam family: Bacterial small subunit ribosomal RNA
Source: RNAcentral